AGUAAAUUGGCUGAAUAUAGGCAAUAAAUUGUAAAUUUAUCAAUAAGAGUUAUCUUAUUUACUA
RNAcentral lists this transfer RNA (64 nucleotides) under Potamophylax nigricornis. RNAcentral describes it as "tRNA-Tyr". Lineage: Eukaryota; Metazoa; Arthropoda; Insecta; Trichoptera; Limnephilidae. The record is from RNAcentral.